GACGAACGCUAGCGGCGCGCUUAACACAUGCAAGUCGAGCGAGAACCAGCCCUUCGGGGCUGGGGACAGCGGCGAACGGGUGAGUAACACGUGGGUAAUCAACCCUCGGUACUGGGAUAGCCCGGGGAAACCCGGAUUAAUACCGGAUGGCCCUUUGGAUCUUCGGAUCUGACGGAAAAGGUAGCUUCGGCCUCCGACCGAGGACGAGCCCGCGGCGGAUUAGCUUGUUGGUGGGGUAAUGGCCUACCAAGGCGGCGAUCCGUAGCUGGUCUGAGAGGACGAUCAGCCACACUGGGACUGAGACACGGCCCAGACUCCUACGGGAGGCAGCAGUGGGGAAUCUUGCGCUAAUGCGGGAAACCGUGACGCAGCGACGCCGCGUGAGGGAAGAAGGCCUUCGGGUUGUAAACCUCUUUCAGGAGGGACGAAGCUACUCGGGUUAAUAGCCCAGAGGGUGACGGUACCUCCAGAAGAAGCCCCGGCUAACUACGUGCCAGCCGCCGCAGUAA
This 509-nucleotide ribosomal RNA is filed under the name uncultured bacterium. Its description in RNAcentral is "partial 16S ribosomal RNA". It matches the Rfam family "Bacterial small subunit ribosomal RNA", at positions 28 to 523 of the family's 1533-position model. The record is from RNAcentral.